This 246-nucleotide long non-coding RNA is filed under the name Vicia faba (fava bean). Lineage: Eukaryota; Viridiplantae; Streptophyta; Magnoliopsida; Fabales; Fabaceae. The record is from RNAcentral.
AUGUUUCGGGAGGCUUGGGCAACCAAAGCUUCAGAAAAACAGGCUGAAUUUAAUAAUUUUCUUAAGGGUACUAUUGUUUUCCUUAUGUAUAUACUUUUCCUCGGAAACGAACCUAUCAAUGUUCCAAAUUCUAUUAUCUUAAGUAUUGUUGCAGUGGCAGAAGUAAAAUGGGUAAUCAGAGCAGACAAGGAUAGGAAGACCAAAUUCUGUUGUGUUCAGCCUAAUGUUGUUGAGCAAUAUUUGUGA